This is a long non-coding RNA of Polypterus senegalus (gray bichir), 414 nucleotides long. RefSeq lists it as uncharacterized. The record is from RefSeq and is a predicted model, not a curated record. The transcript has 3 exons. NCBI's taxonomy places the organism in Eukaryota, Metazoa, Chordata, Cladistia, Polypteriformes, Polypteridae.
AAUUGAAGGUGAAUCUCUUGGACAUGCAACAUAUGUUUCUUGACAUUCAUCAUGAAGAAAGCCGUUAUCGUCCUCCUGGUGCUCGUGGCUCUGGCCACCAUUAUGACUGAGCGCCAGAACUAUGUAGAAGCAAUCAACUGUAGAGGAUACUUCCAAGGUGACUGCAAAACAGCUUGUGCCCAAGGAGAAGAAGAUAUGGGCAAGCAGUCCUGUGCAGAAGGCUACCGCUGCUGUUCCCCCCCGAAAAUGAGUGCCAAACGUAUAUAGAAAAGGAGCCUUUCUUUGACCACCAGCAUUUACUGUCAAGCCAGCGGAGUCUGCUAAAAGUCACCUGAAGUGUGCUCAUUUUUACUUAUGCAUAUCAAGCAAAAUUUGGAAGUUAAUGUUCCUGAAAAUAAAUGGCUUGAAUACUAA